GCCACCUUAGCUCAGUCGGUAGAGCAGCUGUUUCGUAAAUAGCAGGUCGCGGGUUCGAGUCCCACAGGUGGCU
This is a non-coding RNA of Chlorobium sp., 73 nucleotides long. The record is from Rfam. Lineage: Bacteria; Pseudomonadati; Chlorobiota; Chlorobiia; Chlorobiales; Chlorobiaceae.